GGGCCCGUAGCUCAGCAUGGAUAGAGCGCCGGCCUUCUAAGUCGGAGGUCGAGGGUUCAAGUCCCUCCGGGCCCG
This 75-nucleotide transfer RNA is filed under the name Nitrososphaerota archaeon. Its description in RNAcentral is "tRNA-Arg". It matches the Rfam family "tRNA". Rfam says of the family: Transfer RNA (tRNA) molecules are approximately 80 nucleotides in length. Their secondary structure includes four short double-helical elements and three loops (D, anti-codon, and T loops). Lineage: Archaea; Thermoproteati; Nitrososphaerota. The record is from RNAcentral. RNAcentral also lists the same sequence under 4 other names.